GACGAACGCUGGCGGCGUGCUUAACACGUGCAAGUCGAACGGAAAGGCACUGCUUUUGUGGGGUGCUCGAGUGGCGAACGGGUGAGUAACACGUGAGUAACCUGCCCUUGACUUUGGGAUAACUUCAGGAAACUGGGGCUAAUACCGGAUAGGAGCUCCUGCUGCAUGGUGGGGGUUGGAAAGUUUCGGCGGUUGGGGAUGGACUCGCGGCUUAUCAGCUUGUUGGUGGGGUAGUGGCUUACCAAGGCUUUGACGGGUAGCCGGCCUGAGAGGGUGACCGGCCACAUUGGGACCGAGGAACGGCCCAGACUCCUACGGGAGGGAGGAGGGGGGAAUAAUGGAACAUGGGCGGAAGCCUGGAGCAGCAACGCCGCGUGGGGGAUGGAGGCCUUCGGGUUGGAAACCGCUUUCGCCUGUGACGAAGCGUGAGUGACGGUAAUGGGUAAAGAAGCACCGGCUAACUACGUG
This 468-nucleotide ribosomal RNA is filed under the name uncultured bacterium. RNAcentral describes it as "partial 16S ribosomal RNA". It matches the Rfam family "Bacterial small subunit ribosomal RNA", at positions 28 to 507 of the family's 1533-position model. The record is from RNAcentral.